CCCUGAUGUUAGCGGCGGACGGGUGAGUAACACGUGGGUAACCUGCCUGUAAGACUGGGAUAACUCCGGGAAACCGGGGCUAAUACCGGAUGGUUGUUUGAACCGCAUGGUUCAAACAUAAAAGGUGGCUUCGGCUACCACUUACAGAUGGACCCGCGGCGCAUUAGCUAGUUGGUGAGGUAACGGCUCACCAAGGCAACGAUGCGUAGCCGACCUGAGAGGGUGAUCGGCCACACUGGGACUGAGACACGGCCCAGACUCCUACGGGAGGCAGCAGUAGGGAAUCUUCCGCAAUGGACGAAAGUCUGACGGAGCAACGCCGCGUGAGUGAUGAAGGUUUUCGGAUCGUAAAGCUCUGUUGUUAGGGAAGAACAAGUACCGUUCGAAUAGGGCGGUACCUUGACGGUACCUAACCAGAAAGCCACGGCUAACUACGUGCCAGCAGCCGCGGUAAUACGUAGGUGGCAAGCGUUGUCCGGAAUUAUUGGGCGUAAAGGGCUCGCAGGCGGUUUCUUAAGUCUGAUGUGAAAGCCCCCGGCUCAACCGGGGAGGGUCAUUGGAAACUGGGGAACUUGAGUGCAGAAGAGGAGAGUGGAAUUCCACGUGUAGCGGUGAAAUGCGUAGAGAUGUGGAGGAACACCAGUGGCGAAGGCGACUCUCUGGUCUGUAACUGACGCUGAGGAGCGAAAGCGUGGGGAGCGAACAGGAUUAGA
This 713-nucleotide ribosomal RNA is filed under the name Bacillus spizizenii ATCC 6633 = JCM 2499. RNAcentral describes it as "bacterial SSU rRNA". It matches the Rfam family "Bacterial small subunit ribosomal RNA", at positions 84 to 782 of the family's 1533-position model. Lineage: Bacteria; Bacillati; Bacillota; Bacilli; Caryophanales; Bacillaceae. The record is from RNAcentral.